UCGUACUUUGAAAAAUUCUGUCUCUCUCUGAUCUCUUCUCAAUCAUCUCUGCUGAAUAACAGAGACGAACCUAAGUCAUCUCUGCCUGCGUAUCUCCGAAGAAAAAUCCAAUCUUUUCUAACCAAAUCUUAUCAUCACAAAUCAAAAGAGAAAAAGAUAAUUACAGUAAAAAGGAAGAAUGUCGUCAACAACUACAGCAGCAGCAGGAGCAGCAACAACAGCAAACAAUAAUGGAAGGCAAACAUAUUGGUGUCAUGAAUGUGAUAUGAGUGUAUCUCUCUUAUCAUCAUCUCAACCUCUUCUUUGUGCACAUUGCAAUGGCGAUUUCUUAGAAGAAAUGGAAACCCCGAUUAACCACAAUUCGUCAUCAAACCCUAAUUUCCCAAAUUCUAAUAACAAUAAUCCAUCUCUUCCUCUGCUGCAUCCAUUUCCUAUCCUUUCACCUCCUCAAACCCUAACUACACCUACUACUGAUGAUGAUACUAAUGAUUUCGAUUCAUUUCAAAUCCCAUCUCCGAUUCGUGUAUCUGAUGCUUACCUUCUUGAUCGUUUAAUUCAACACUUAGCUGAUCCUCAUGAUGGUAUUCCUGGAUUCCCGAUUCGACAACAUCAUCAGACUUCAUCCCCAGCUUCUAAAGCAUCUGUUGAAUCAAUACCCACAGUUAAAAUCACUAGUUCAUUGUUGAAUUCUGAUUCAAUUUUAUGUGCUGUUUGUAAAGAUGAGUUCUUGGUUGAUGUCGAAGCUAAACAAUUACCUUGUAAUCACAUCUAUCAUUUUGAUUGUAUUUUGCCAUGGCUUGAACAGCAUAAUUCAUGUCCUGUGUGUAGGUUUUGUUUACCUACAGAUGAACCCGAGAGAAGAUCGACUCAUACUAGAACUAGGGUUAGAUUUGGGAAUUUGAUGGAUGAUAUCGAGGAUGAUGCUGAUGAUCUGUUUGGUAUGGGAAAUACUUUGAGACACAUUGCUAGGAGACACAGAUUGGUUUUCCCAAUGAGGUCCACUACUGGUGUGGAUUCUUCGUCCUCCCCAACUCAGAUGGCGGAAGCUGAGACUAGUGCAGCUGGACCUGCUAAUAGUGGUGAGACUGUAUCGAGUUGGCCUAUUGAAGGUGGAAGUAGAAUUGCUGGUAGUCGUGGUAGUCGGGGUGGAGGAAGUAAUGGUGGUGGAAGGCUGGACGAGGAUGGUGAUACUGUAAUGUCUGAAAUCAGGGGAGGUUUGCUGGAAUGAAACUUCUAAAGUUGAAAUAGACAUAUCAGGGCUUAAAGAAUGAGACUAGGGCACCCUUGAAAUGCAUAUAUCAUUUCGUGUAAAUGUAGAUGAUAUCAUGCUAAUUUCAUGGUCCCGCUAAUGCUGGAUAUUGGUUGGAAUUUCCAAACAGUGUGGCUUCUGCUGAUGUUAUCACUUAUAUUCCUUACCUUCUUUCUUUUGUUCAAUAAUAAAUUAAGGAAUGUCCUGGUUAAAAGAACUGAUAGCUGUUGCACUCUGAUACAUUCCACCAAGAAAACUCUUUUACUUUGAGUAACUAGGAUUUUGAAAGCCGAAACCUCCUUGAUCAAAUAUCAAAUGGGUGACUAGUUUAUAAAAGGUAUCCUAUUUGUGUGAUUUUUCUUAGGAAGUCGUAGAUCCUGCUUAAUAUGUACUUUACAAAGAGGGGUGUCUUCCUCAAGCAUCCACUCAUAGUGUUUUUCAUCAUUGAGUGUUUGGGACUCGCCGGUUAUAAUAUAGAGGUCUAUUUAUAUUUCAUAUGUGUCACUCAGCAAAAUGCAUGAACCUUACUUCGAAAAGCUUUUAACUGUGUUGUGCAUUUUUCUUUCUUUGUUUUUUUAUAUCUAGUGAUCUUCCAAUUUCCAGCUCAAUUACCUCAUAUUUUCUGUAGUUAGAUUCAGACCUUUUAUUUAUAACGUUUUAAGUAUUGUGAGAGUUGUUACUAGUUUACCAAGGCAUGCCAAUCAUUCUAUGCCUAUCAAUCAUCCUGUACGUAUUAUACUGCACUGUUUAGCUUAGCUCUAACAUCCUUUUUUACUUUUUAGUUACGCACACUGAAUUUGUAGCUUUGUUUUUCUGAAUUUUUGA
This is an RNA transcript of Papaver somniferum (opium poppy), 2074 nucleotides long. It is a transcript of the gene named E3 ubiquitin-protein ligase RING1-like, with no coding region annotated. The record is from RefSeq and is a predicted model, not a curated record. NCBI's taxonomy places the organism in Eukaryota, Viridiplantae, Streptophyta, Magnoliopsida, Ranunculales, Papaveraceae. The transcript has 3 exons.